UACAGAGGGGGCAAGCGUUGUUCGGAAUUACUGGGCGUAAAGGGCGCGUAGGCGGCCUUCUAAGUCGAACGUGAAAUCCCCGGGCUCAACCCGGGAACUGCGUCCGAUACUGGAAGGCUUGAAUCCGGGAGAGGGGUGCGGAAUUCCAGGUGUAGCGGUGAAAUGCGUAGAUAUCUGGAGGAACACCGGUGGCGAAGGCGGCAUCCUGGACCGGUAUUGACGCUGAGGCGCGAAAGCCAGGGGAGCAAACGGG
RNAcentral lists this ribosomal RNA (253 nucleotides) under uncultured bacterium. RNAcentral describes it as "partial 16S ribosomal RNA". It matches the Rfam family "Bacterial small subunit ribosomal RNA", at positions 524 to 776 of the family's 1533-position model. The record is from RNAcentral.